This 495-nucleotide ribosomal RNA is filed under the name uncultured bacterium. Its description in RNAcentral is "partial 16S ribosomal RNA". It matches the Rfam family "Bacterial small subunit ribosomal RNA", at positions 30 to 507 of the family's 1533-position model. The record is from RNAcentral.
UGAACGCUGGCGGCGUGCCUAAUACAUGCAAGUCGAGCGAACAGACGAGGAGCUUGCUCCUCUGACGUUAGCGGCGGACGGGUGAGUAACACGUGGAUAACCUACCUAUAAGACUGGGAUAACUUCGGGAAACCGGAGCUAAUACCGUAUAACAUGUUGAACCGCAUGGUUCAACAGUGAAAGACGGUCUUGCUGUCACUUAUAGAUGGAUCCGCGCCGCAUUAGCUAGUUGGUAAGGUAACGGCUUACCAAGGCAACGAUGCGUAGCCGACCUGAGAGGGUGAUCGGCCACACUGGAACUGAGACACGGUCCAGACUCCUACGGGAGGCAGCAGUAGGGAAUCUUCCGCAAAGGGCGAAAGCCUGACGGAGCAACGCCGCGUGAGUGAAGAAGGUCUUCGGAUCGUAAAACUCUGUUAUUAGGGAAGAACAAAUGUGUAAGUAACUAUGCACGUCUUGACGGUACCUAAUCAGAAAGCCACGGCUAACUACGUG